Molecule: non-coding RNA, 102 nt
Filed under: Jejuia pallidilutea
Lineage: Bacteria; Pseudomonadati; Bacteroidota; Flavobacteriia; Flavobacteriales; Flavobacteriaceae
Description: SAM-I-IV sequence
Rfam family: SAM-I/IV (S-adenosyl methionine) riboswitch aptamer
About the family: It is found upstream of a number of genes which code for proteins involved in methionine or cysteine biosynthesis. It has been found mostly in the order Actinomycetales.
Source: RNAcentral
CAAAUACAUCAAGAUUUUGAGCUGAAAAGUUCAAAAACCAACCGAGACGCGAGUCCACGGUGGUCAAAAGAUGUGGACAGUCUGUCAAAAUAAAGAGCAACU